This 1158-nucleotide ribosomal RNA is filed under the name Kocuria sp. RNAcentral's name for it is "partial 16S ribosomal RNA". Lineage: Bacteria; Bacillati; Actinomycetota; Actinomycetes; Micrococcales; Micrococcaceae. The record is from RNAcentral.
GRCUCACGGCCURUCAGCUUGUUGGUGWGGUAAUGGCUCAGCAARRCGACGACGKGUAGCCGGCCUGAGAGGGUGACCGKCCACACUGGGACUGAGACRCGKCCCAGACUCYUACGKGAGGCAGCAGUGGGGAAUAUUGCACAAUGGSMGAAAGCCUGAUGCAGCGACGCCGCGUGAGGGAUGACGRCMUUCGGGUUGUAAACCUCUUUCAGCAGGGAAGAAGYCWCAAGUGACGGUACCUGCAGAAGAAGCGCCGGCUAACUACGUGCCAGCAGCCGCGGUAAUAYGUAGGGCGCAAGCGUUGUCCGGAAUUAUUGGGCGUAAAGAGCUCGUAGGCGGUUUGUCGCGUCUGCUGUGAAAGCCCGGGGCUUAACCCCGGGUGUGCAGUGGGUACGKGCAGACUAGAGUGCAGUAGGGGAGACUGGAAUUCCUGGUGUAGCGGUGGAAUGCGCAGAUAUCAGGAGGAACACCGAUGGCGAAGGCAGGUCUCUGGGCUGUUACUGACGCUGAGGAGCGAAAGCAUGGGGAGCGAACAGGAUUAGAUACCCUGGUAGUCCAUGCCGUAAACGUUGGGCWCUAGGUGUGGGGGACAUUCCACGUUUUCCGCGCCGUAGCUAACGCAUUAAGUGCCCCGCCUGGGGAGUMCGGCCGCAAGGCUAAAACUCAAAGGAAUUGMCGSGGGCCCGCACAAGCGGCGGAGCAUGCGGAUUAAUUCGAUGCAACGCGAAGAACCUUACCAAGGCUUGACAUAUACCGGAUCGUUCCAGAGAUGGUUCUUCCCCUUUGGGGUCGGUAUACAGGUSGUGCAUGGUGUCGUGAGAUGUUGGGUUAAGUCCCGCAACGAGCGCAACCCUCGUUCCAUGUUGCCAGCACGUGAUGGUGGGGACUCAUGGGAGACUGCCGGGGUCAACUCGGAGGAAGGUGGGGAUGACGUCAAAUCAUCAUGCCCCUUAUGUCUUGGCUUCACGCAUGCUACAAUGRYCGGKACAAAGGGUUGYGAUACUGUGAGGUGGAGCUAAUCCCAAAMAAGCCGGUCUCAGUUCGGAUUGAGGUCUGCWACUCGACCYUCAUGAAGUUCGGAGUCGCUAGUAAUCRYAGAUCAGCYAACGCUGYGGWGAAUACGUUSCCCGGACCUUGUACACACCCGCCCGGUCAAGU